This 506-nucleotide long non-coding RNA is filed under the name Chinchilla lanigera (long-tailed chinchilla). RNAcentral describes it as "lncRNA (ENSCLAG00000023778.1)". Lineage: Eukaryota; Metazoa; Chordata; Mammalia; Rodentia; Chinchillidae. The record is from RNAcentral.
UAGACAGGGAGUGCAGGAUGGCCAUCCAAUUAUUUGGAUGUAGUUCAGGGAGUGGAGAUAGCAAAUUAGAAUGUUGAUUUUGAGUUCUUGGGGAUACAGAAAUAGAAGUGUCAAAAUACAAACCAGGAACUUAAAAUAGGGUUUGUGUUAAAGGGGUGGAUUUUAACAGUUGCUGUGUUUAUGCCAGCUGAAUUCAUGGAUGUGGAUGAAAUCAUCUUCAGAGAGUGUAAGGGAUGAUAAGAAAAGCUAUGGAGACAGACAAAGCAGUACUGGAAAAUAUCGAUAAGUUGUCAGAAGUUCCAGUUUUAUGUUGUUUUUUUCCCCCAGAGGCUUUGAGGCUACCCUCAGCAUACAAAGUCCGCCAAAAAAAGUACACACACAUCAGCAGUCGCUGUACUAAUACAUGUCUGGAAGCUAAUGACCACCACUUUCUUUUGAUUGUAGAGUCCAAAGAUAACGUAUUAAUCUCAUGAUGUCUCAAAAAAUUUAACAUUAAAAUAUUUAUA